This 27-nucleotide small RNA is filed under the name Bombyx mori (domestic silkworm). RNAcentral describes it as "ovarian small RNA-17601". The record is from RNAcentral. Lineage: Eukaryota; Metazoa; Arthropoda; Insecta; Lepidoptera; Bombycidae.
GUAAACAAUAUGGCCACUAUCGCAAUC